Molecule: ribosomal RNA, 840 nt
Filed under: Protospirella mazurica
Lineage: Eukaryota; Ciliophora; Oligohymenophorea; Thigmotrichida; Hemispeiridae
Description: partial large subunit ribosomal RNA
Rfam family: Bacterial small subunit ribosomal RNA (bases 143-776)
Source: RNAcentral
CGUUAGUCGUAUAGUUGAGUGUAUAAUAUAUUUAGAGUUUAUUUUUAUAAAUCAAAAAAAAAAAUUAAUAAAAAUAAAAAAUAUUUUUUUUAUUUAAAAUCCUUAAAAAAUAGCGAUAAAAUGCAAAAAUUUUUUAUAUAUUUUUAAUAAUUAAUUUUUUUAAUAAAAAAAUAUUUGUAUUUAUAUAUUAAAGUAUAGGUAAUGAAUAGGAUUGGAGACCCUAAUAGUCUAUACUAUAAAAAAUGAUGAUUAGCAUAAGCUAAACUAACGUAAGAAUCAUCUACUUGGGAAGUAUUAUUGCAAAAUAAAAACUUAACAGAAUUGGCGGAAAUUUGUUCUAACGGUGGAGCAUGUGGUUUAAUACGAUAAUCCACGUAAAAUCUUACUAAUAUAAAAUUUAAUUUUUUAUAAAAAUUAAUUUUUUAUAAAUUUAAAAUUAAAAUCGGUAUUGCAUGGCUGUCGUCAGUUCGUGUUUUGAAAUGUAAAAUUAAGUUUUUUUUACAAACGAAAUCUUUAUAAUAUUGUAAAAAAUUUAAUAUUAUAUAUAAAAGCUGAAGUCAAGUCUUUUUGAUCUUUAUAUAUUGGGCUACACACGUGCUACAAUGAUAAAAACAAAAAGUUGUAAAUAAGUAAUUAUGAACUAAUCUUUAAAAAUUAUCUUAGUACAGAUUGUUUUUUGUAACUCAAAAGCAUGAAGAUGGAAUCGUUAGUAAUCGUAUAUUAAUAUAAUACGGUGAAUAAAAAGUCAAAUUUUACACACACUGCCCAUCACACUCGAAAAAUUAAAUGUAUGUUUAUAAAAUAUAAUAAAAACUUUUUAAAAAAACUUUUUUUUUUCUA